This 1335-nucleotide long non-coding RNA is filed under the name Ananas comosus (pineapple). Its description in RNAcentral is "long non-coding RNA (ACOM_LNC024619)". Lineage: Eukaryota; Viridiplantae; Streptophyta; Magnoliopsida; Poales; Bromeliaceae. The record is from RNAcentral.
CCCCACCUUUUAUCGCGUUCCAAUUGCUCGUAGUCACUUGCAAUCGGCCUCCCGCGGCACCCGCCGCCCGGUUCGGCCCAAUCUCACGCUCGACCACCGAACGACCACCAAUCCGCAAUCCGAAAAUUAAAGGUCUAUAACUUGAUGCCACGAUGCUACGAUCUUUAUCUCAUAAUUUUUGGAUGCCUCCUUGGCCCUCCAGGCGGAAACGAAGCUCUAACAGUCCAUUUCCUCAAUAUCUUCGCGUAGGCUCGACGAAUGCUCAAACCGAGUGCACGAACGCGUUCGGGGACCUAACAAUUAGAUUAGAGAAGGGUCAAUUGAGAUAAAAACCCCUCAUGAGCAAAAGCCCUCUUUUUGGAGCCCUAAAUCACCAUUGUUGCAAUUAGCUUCAUACAAGCUACUAUUCUUGCAAUAAAUGAGAUUAACUACUCUUAGGGGCUGUUUGGUUGUACGCAUUUGCAAUUGCAGUGCAGUUGCAAAUGCGUGCAGCCACAAUUCCUUUGUUUGGUUUAGUGUAGUUGAGUUCAACUGCUGCAGUUCCAACUGCACAAGAAGGCCCAAAUGCUGCAGUUGGAACUACAUCCAAAUUAGUCGUAGUUCCAACUGCAGCAGUUGGUGAGGGAUAGGAUCACCCACAAAUUAUUAAUAAUAAAUAAAUAAAUAAAUAAAUAGCUAAAUAAAUAAAUAAUAUAUGUAUAUAGGUAAAUAAAAAUACUUAUAAAUAAACUCAUACUAAUAAAAUUUUUUAGACAAUACAAGCUUUGUGCAAAAAAUUAAUUUUUUUAAAUUUAUUUUAUUUAAAAUAUAAAUAUAGUUUUUUUUUCUAAAUUUUUAUAGAAUGUGAUCGUGUAUGUUAAUUUAAUAAGUUUUAAUUAAUUAUAAUUAUUAAAUUUGAUAAAAAAAAUGAGAGAAUCGCUUAAAUUUUUAAAGUUUGAUUUACAUAUUAAAAUUAAAUAAAUUAAAAAUUUUAAAUGUGUCGAUUAAUAAGUUGAAGAAUUAUUGAAAAAUAUAAAAAUAUUAUAUAUAUCUACUUAUUUAUUUAUAAAUAGUAAAUUUAAAUAAUUAAUAAAUUUAUACAAUUAUUUUAUGUUUAGUGAAGGUAACUUUACCACUCUAUCUGAAGAGGUGACAAAAUUCAUAAAUACAACUAUCAGCUUCAUAUUACCAAACAGAAGAAAUGUAACUGCAGCAGUUGCAACUGCGUAAAACCAAAUAGACUAGGUGUAGUUAUAACUGCAGCAUUUGCAACUGCAUGUAUUUCCAACUACACUGUUUCUGCAACUACAUCCAACCAAACGGCCCCUUAGAGCACCAUUAAAUUUCAUUUCUAAG